AUCACUAACAAUACACUGACGCUGAUGGACGAAAGCGUAGGUAGCGAACAGGAUUAGAUACCCUGGUAGUCUACGCCGUAAACGAUGGUUACUAGCUGUUCGGGACAAUUGAGUUCUGAGUGGCUAAGCGAAAGUGAUAAGUAACCCACCUGGGGAGUACGUUCGCAAGAAUGAAACUCAAAGGAAUUGACGGGGGCCCGCACAAGCGGUGGAGCAUGUGGUUUAAUUCGAUGAUACGCGAGGAACCUUACCAGGGCUUAAAUGCAGUUUGACAGGGGUGGAAACACCUUUUUCUUCGGACAAAUUGCAAGGUGCUGCAUGGUUGUCGUCAGCUCGUGCCGUGAGGUGUCAGGUUAAGUCCUAUAACGAGCGCAACCCCUUUGGUUAGUUACCAGCAUGUAAAGAUGGGGACUCUAAGGAGACUGCCUGCGCAAGCAGAGAGGAAGGAGGGGACGACGUCAAGUCAUCAUGGCCCUUACGUCCAGGGCUACACACGUGCUACAAUGGUGCAUACAGAGGGUAGCGAACUGGCAACAGUAAGCCAAUCUCAAAAAGUGCAUCUCAGUUCGGAUUGGGGUCUGCAACUCGACCCUAUGAAGUUGGAAUCGCUAGUAAUCGCGUAUCAGCAAUGACGCGGUGAAUACGUUCCCGGACCUUGUACACACCGCCCGUCAAGCCAUGGGAAUUGGGAGGACCUGAAGACGGUUGCCGCAAGGCGCUGUUUAGGGUUAAACCAGUGACUAGGGCUAAGUCGUAACAAGGUACCCGUA
RNAcentral lists this ribosomal RNA (770 nucleotides) under uncultured bacterium. RNAcentral's name for it is "bacterial SSU rRNA". It matches the Rfam family "Bacterial small subunit ribosomal RNA", at positions 725 to 1504 of the family's 1533-position model. The record is from RNAcentral.